AUGCACGCUGGCGGCGUGCUUAACACAUGCAAGUCGAACGAAGCACUUAAGAUUGAUUCUUCGGAUGACGUCUUUUGUGACUUAGUGGCGGACGGGUGAGUAACGCGUGGGUAACCUGCCUCACACAGGGGGAUAACAGUUAGAAAUGACUGCUAAUACCGCAUAACCCGAUAGGAUCGCAUGAUCCAGACGGAAAAGAUUUAUCGGUGUGAGAUGGACCCGCGUCUGAUUAGCUAGUUGGUGAGGUAACGGCCCACCAAGGCGACGAUCAGUAGCCGGCCUGAGAGGGUGAACGGCCACAUUGGGACUGAGACACGGCCCAAACUCCUACGGGAGGCAGCAGUGGGGAAUAUUGCACAAUGGGGGAAACCCUGAUGCAGCGACGCCGCGUGAGUGAAGAAGUAUUUCGGUAUGUAAAGCUCUAUCAGCAGGGAAGAAAAUGACGGUACCUGACUAAGAAGCCCCGGCUAACUACGUG
RNAcentral lists this ribosomal RNA (478 nucleotides) under uncultured bacterium. RNAcentral describes it as "partial 16S ribosomal RNA". It matches the Rfam family "Bacterial small subunit ribosomal RNA", at positions 29 to 507 of the family's 1533-position model. The record is from RNAcentral.